This 605-nucleotide ribosomal RNA is filed under the name uncultured archaeon. RNAcentral's name for it is "bacterial SSU rRNA". It matches the Rfam family "Archaeal small subunit ribosomal RNA", at positions 324 to 933 of the family's 1478-position model. The record is from RNAcentral.
UACGGGGCGCAGCAGGCGCGAAAACUUUACCAUGCGGGCAACCGUGAUAAGGAAACCCCGAGUGCCAGCACAGGCUGGCUGUCCGCCAGUUUAAAUAACUGGUGAAGAAAGGGCCGGGCAAGACCGGUGCCAGCCGCCGCGGUAAUACCGGCGGCUCGAGUGGUGGCCGCUAUUACUGGGCUUAAAGGGUCCGUAGCUUGAUAACUGGGUCCCUUGAGAAAUCCGCCAGCUUAACUGGCGGGCGUUCAGGGGAAACUUGUUUUCUAGGGACCGGGAGAGGUGAGGGGUACUGCCGGGGUAGGAGUGAAAUCCUGUAAUCCCGGUGGGACUACCUAUGGCGAAGGCAUCUCACCAGAACGGGUCCGACAGUGAGGGACGAAAGCUGGGGGAGCAAACCGGAUUAGAUACCCGGGUAGUCCUAGCCGUAAACGAUACUCGCUAGGUGUCGGCCACGGUGCGACCGUUGUCGGUGCCGUAGGGAAGCCGUGAAGCGAGCCACCUGGGAAGUACGGCCGCAAGGCUGAAACUUAAAGGAAUUGGCGGGGGAGCACCACAACGGGUGGAGCUUGCGGUUUAAUUGGAUUCAACGCCGGAAAUCUUACCGG